AGCGCCUGGGAAUUAGGUGAGGAGCAUUAAUUACAGCCCAGUAGAUGUCGACCCCCCCUUAACACUGAUGUCAAUGUACUGUCUUCUCACCUACCUCAGGCCAUUAGACGUCGGUUUGAGUCAAGGACGAUGUUUAUGAUAUAGUAGACGUCGCCUUAUCCGAAAAUCGACGUCUAGUGUACCAAGUUAUUUACGAUACUACCACCGUCCACUCAUAUACUUCGGAUUACAUGAACACCAGCGUUUUUGCACUAGUGUUCAUUCAAAGUAUACCAUUAUAUCGUGAGGC
Molecule: long non-coding RNA, 289 nt
Filed under: Vigna radiata
Lineage: Eukaryota; Viridiplantae; Streptophyta; Magnoliopsida; Fabales; Fabaceae
Description: long non-coding RNA (VRAD_LNC017455)
Source: RNAcentral